RNAcentral lists this long non-coding RNA (721 nucleotides) under Daucus carota (carrot). Its description in RNAcentral is "long non-coding RNA (DCAR_LNC000485)". Lineage: Eukaryota; Viridiplantae; Streptophyta; Magnoliopsida; Apiales; Apiaceae. The record is from RNAcentral.
CAUAAUCGUAACAUGGAGCUGGAGGAGGUGGAACAGGCCGUCCAUACCCGUGAAAACAUGGCCCCCCACCAUAGCCAUCGUAACAAGGCCCACAACAUACCCCGCUUGGAUACAUGGGUAUGGGUGGAUAUCCCGGAUAUCCUUGAACCGGUUCACACAUAUUCACUUGCACCGGCUCAGGUCCUUUUGGGGCUGGGGCCGGGGCAGGGGCAGGAACUGGAACUGGUACUGGAACCGGAACAGGGGCUGGAGCCGGUUCCUUUGGCUUGGGUUUUUCCGCAGGCUUAUCAGCAGGAGGUUUAGGCUUUUCUGGCUCUUUAGGCUUUUCUGGUUCCUUAGGCUUCUCAGGCUCUUUAGGCUUUUCCGGGGCUUUAGGUUUCUCAGGCUCCUUAGGCUUCUCGGGAGCUUUGGGUUUCUCAGGCUCUUUAGGCUUCUCCGGAGCUUUUGGUUUCUCGGGUUCCUUAGGCUUCUCCGGAGGUUUAGGCUUAGGAUCCUCCAAAAUCUCAAUACUCUUAAUAUAUUUACCACCUCUGUAACAAAGCUUGUCACGAAUCUUCUCAGGGCUGCAGCAUACCACCUUAAUUCUGACUCUACUACCCUUCUCAUCAUAUAUCUGGUCCCUAAUUUCUACAAACCAAAAAUCCCACACCACAUAAAAUAUCUCAGUUCACAUCCACAAAAAUAAAUACAGCUAAUAAAAAGGAACAUUUUAAAAAGCAAA